This 3118-nucleotide long non-coding RNA is filed under the name Fukomys damarensis (Damara mole-rat). Its description in RNAcentral is "lncRNA (ENSFDAG00000031750.1)". Lineage: Eukaryota; Metazoa; Chordata; Mammalia; Rodentia; Bathyergidae. The record is from RNAcentral.
AUUCCUGAUUGGCCAAAGGAGGGUAAGAGACCGCCCCUUCCUCCUUUCUCCUCUUGCGCAGGGCAAGCUAGUUUGGGCAUUUAAGGUAUGUUUGUCCCUGCCUGUGGGAGCGGGUGCUACGGGUGGAUGGCCCUUCCCCCCAUUUAUUCUAGGAGUGAGAACUGCCAUCGGUAACUAAGGUACUGCUUUGCCUUCCGCAGCCUACACUUCGUCUGCUUCUCUUCAGCAGGUGGAGCAGAAUUUGAAUGUUUUGCAUCUAGUCCCACUCCUUUCCUAAUGCUUGCAGCUUUUGUACAGCUCUGCCGGAUAUCCAUCGCACCUCAUUCAGCCUGUGCUAGAACACCGACAGGAACAGGGAGCUCACUACCAACAGGUAAACUGAUCGUUUGAAGGCAGCGCUCUUAUUUCCUAGAGGUUUUCAUUUUUCCUUAGAAGUAUUACCUUGGUGCUAUUUUCUCCAUUUUCCUAGGGACCUUGGCGGGUGGCUCCGGAAAGGCAGGCAGCAGCCUGUUGUUACCAGUUGGAGGCAUUGUUCAGGAGGAGAUGAAGCUCCUUACCACCCCUCAGCGGUGUCCUAAUGGGCUCUUGCUGCUUUCGCAACAAACCUGAUGUCUUUGCUCCUAAGACCCUGAACUGCCCCAUCCUCUACCCUCAGCAGAUCAUGUCACCUGCUGCUCUCUCGACAGGGUUGGGGUUUCCAGCAAAAGCUCUUGCAUUUCCGCCUAGUGUCUUCACACCGCUCUCUGGGUAGCCUGUCCCUUCUCUUCCCUGCCCUCCCUCCUUCUCCUCCCUCCUCCCUCUCCCCUUUGUCCAUUACACCUUCACUGCUGCCCAGCUCCUCCUAUCUUUCCCCUCUGGGAAAAAAAAAACUUUAAAUAUUGCCCUUGCCCUUAAAAAUUCCUUCCUUCAGGGAAAAAGGGAAGAGGGAGGGAGAAAUGAAGGAAGGGACAAGAAAAAAAAGUGAAAACAGAAGAGAAAAUGGAAACAAAGUGUUUAGACAUAGGGAGAGGAGAGGGCUUAAGGGAAGGGGAGAAUGGGGGAAAAAAGGUGGGAUGUACCAUGGAAUGUACCAGGUACAAAUACGAGUUCCCUGUCACUGUCUAAAUUGUACCAAUAAGUGUUUUUGCUGUGUAAAAAAAAAUUCCUUCCUUCACACGCUAAUUAACAAAACAAUGAUAUCACUCACACUCAUCAAGCUGGCAAAAGUCAACGCGCACAGUGACACUGAGGGCCAGGCCCACAGGGAUCUGGCAGCGCUGUGCUCUUGCUUUGAGACAGCGCCCAGGAAACCCGGAGACGCAGCGGGCUUCACUUCUCGGCGGGGCCAUGGAGCGACUCUCUCAUGGGGACCGUGGAGACCAGAGUGGACAGCUAAUUAGAAGCAAUGAUGGAGAUUUCUCGAAGUGACUCCAACUUUGAGGGGAACUGACUACAGGGAGAACUGACAGAUGACAGUGAGAGGAAAGAGGAAAGGAACACUAAGUGGCAAAGCAAAGGCAUAAAUGGCCACAUUCUGCAUGGUAUAAUUGGUUCUGAAGGAAUCAUGACAUCACAGGUCAGUAUAAUAAUUGAUGUUGAUAAUGACUGAGCCAUGAUGGGGGAGUUACUGGGAGCUGAUCACUCAGCUCAUUUACAAAAUGUUUAUUAGAAACUCAGUAUGCACCUGUCUCUGUCUAGAUCCUGGGAAUAGAAGGAUGGAUAAAGGAUGGCCCUUGCCCUCAGAAGACUCUCUGGUCUUCAGUUUCUCCAGUGGAAAGAUGAGAGCCCCAAAGUGUCUGAUUGCUAGCGCUCUUUCCUAGAAGUCCUGAGUGCUUUAUGCAUUAGGGCUUGAAUCUCAAUGAUCCUGAAAGAUGGUGAUCCAGGUCAUAGAAUCCUGCUUUGCAAGCGAGCAAACUGAGGUGCAGGGGGGUUGGCAUCUGGCUCAAGGUCACACAGUUAGUGAGUGGCAGAACCAGGACACUCAGGCACAUGGACCAAUCGCAUAGAAGUAGACAGGUCAUCUUCCUCCUGUUCCAGUGCUUCCCCGACUCUACAUCUCUCCUCCAAAAAGGCAGUAAGAAUAGAUGGAGAGCAGCUCGUGAAUUGGACAACUGCGUGGACUUAGAGGUCUGGAACACAAAAUUCAGCAGCUACAGAACAAAAAUCAUGUGCAACUAGACAAUAAUAAAUAUCUAUAAGACAAAGUGCCACCUAAAGGGCGUUGGCGGAUCUGUCAAAAUCAACAGCAAGACCUGGGAUUUAGCUAGGUGGCACCGCACCUGCCUGCGAAGUGCAAGGUCCUGAGUUCGCCCCUGCGGGCAGAGUCCAUCCGAGCACGGAGCAUGGAGAUGCGGAGCCCAGCAGCACACCUGGCUCUCUUCCCCGGUGGCCAGCAUAGGAUGCCUGCCAGCUCUGCUGUUGCUGAGAGCGCAGAGAUCUGUGAUGGGAAACAGGUCCAUGUCUUCCUACAGAACUGUGUACAAAUGGAGAAGGAAGGCAGCUAGAGGGCUCCUGGUUCAAAGCUGCUGGUUUAUAAUGCCAAGUAGAGAUGGUCACCAGUGUAUUGUGCAAUAUCAUGAAAGCAAAAGACAUGAACCUGGGAAUAAACAUUUGUUGAGCACCUGCUGUUCUGGCUGCUCUGGGAGAUAGAUAAUAAGCACUAGCUCAUCCAUUCCUUGCAGUAAAUCUCUGAGGCAGAUGAUGUUGGAAGCUCACAGAAGUGAUUUGUAUAGGAGCCCACGGCUAGUGAGGAUUUGAACUCUGAGCACAUUCAUAUCUCUGGCUCUUCACACACCCUCCAGGACAGGGUCUGUCCUCUGUACUUCUUAGCCUUGUGGCUCCCACAAAGUAUCUUAGUCUCUAAAAUGCUCAGGUUCCUGAGAUUUAACUAUCUCAUAGGAUUAUUGUAAAGAUCAAAGGAGAGAAAGUACUUGAAAGUGUUUUGCUACCUAAUAAGAUUUAUGCAGUAAUAUUUUUUAAAAAGUGAUAUUUAGCAGGGGUAAGGGGAAAAAAAUGAGAACCAAGACCUGUCAUGUAAAGGUACAAGAGUCCAAUGAUGAAUGUGACUGUACUGUAUACCUAAAAUGUGCUAAAAAACUCAAUGAGAAAAAAAUAAAAUAAAAAGUGAUAUUUAUAGAAC